AGGAGAGAACCAGCAGGGUUACCGAAACCGUAAUCAAGAAGCACCGAGGCAUUGAGGUAGAGAAAUUUGAAGGAAAAGCAAGAGUAUAUAUCCAUGGCCCAAAUCAAGAUGAAAUUAAGAAGACUAACGUACAAAUAUAGGAUGCCACAUCUCCUCGGAUAAAAGAGGGCAGGCGGAACUCAGAAAUCGAAGUGAAACAACAGAAAAAAGUGCGGAAAGAAACUGGGUAUCAUACUAGUCUUUUUCGCGGUCGAUUUGAAAUUUGUCCAUUUUUCGUGAAAUAGCAAAGCUCUAGAAAUGGAACAGAAUUUUUGGGGUUGACCUUCCACAUUUAAAAGUGUGGGUGUAUAGUUUGAGAUGCGUCACUGUCUAAAAGGAUUAUACAAGCAUGUUAUUAGGUUAUCGGUUUCUUCUUAUGUAAGUACCUAUAUCGCUGUCAUAACGUAUAUUUAUUCGUAAGUGCAAAUCAUUUAUGAAUGAAUCGUCGAUAGGUGCGGUUGUAUGUGUGUUCCGUUCGCGUGAAACGCUUUCUACGUGGAAAUGGUGAGUUGCUUUUUACCUUUUUGCUUAGGUGUAGCUUUGGGGAUUGUGUAUUUUGUAUCUCUUUGAAACAAAAUACAUGGGUGCGUCAAAAUACUUUCACCUCUAUUGCCUCUGAUGGAUACUAUUAGAGUCGACUCAUUUCUGCAGUCAAUUUAUUGGAGAUGAAGGAGUAGGCCAGGAAUGAUGGUAAUGUCCGAGUUGUACACUUCAAUAGUCAAUGUCUCAAUGAUGUUCCGGAAAUGGAGAGGUACCUACGCCAUCAAACGUUCGUGAUAUUUUCCGAGACGUUCCACUAUGUGGUUCUUAGAAGAGGUUACCACGUUCUCAUAUAUGAUUCCUAAUUCAAAAUUGCGGAGCUAAUCAACAUUUAGGAACCAAAUACACGGGUUCGUCAAACAAGCUUGUGAUAAAUUUUUUUUAAAGUAAAUUUACUUUUAUUGUCAACGAUUUUCUUGAGAUGGAGUAGUAAAGACGUCCGAGUUGUGCCUGGUUUCAGUCAUUAGAGAAAGUUCAGACGUUUUCAUAUGGCGAGAGAUGGACGCCAUCAAAUGAUCGCGAUGAGGUUUACGAUUCCGAUCACGUUUUGAUAUGUGAUUACUGCAAUUUAAAAUGGACCUCGCCAGCAACACUUUGGAACGGAAUACACAAGUUCGUCAAAUACUCGAACUCUGCUUCUGAUGGAUUUUUUCAGUGUCGCUUCACUUUGACUUUGUGGAGUUGAUUGCGAUGCUGUGCGAGAUGUAUACCUAUCCUUCCAGUCGUUAGGAGAGAUAACCACGUAGUCAUAUGGGGCACCUAGUUCAAUGGAUACAAUGGGACUCCAAAUUCGAAAUGGAAUUGGUCAACAUCACUUUGGUGGCUCGAUGUGACUGAGGAGGGAAAGCGGACUGUAGGUAUAGUCUUGUUGUUAGACCGAAUUAAUACAGUUAUGACGAGUCAUCAUCCUCGUACGAGUCUGUGGAAGGCGAGAUGCGUAGUACGGAAACCACUCUAUUUGUAGAAAUCUGCAAAAUACAAGGUGUUUUCUAAAAUUUCAAAAAAAAUUUUAAAUUCAUUAUUUAUGAAUGUCAGGGCCCUGUAGUUUGUAAUUGUUGAUUUGGUAUUCGAAAAUUAUUCAAUUUAAAGAGCAUUUUAUAAGUAAUCGAUGUGUGACUUGAACCAGGUCCUUACUCAUCUAAAGAUGUCGGAUAACUACUUGUGCAUAUUUGUGGUCAGAAUUCGUCCACAAAUUUUUGGGGGUGGUUUAUGCUUUGAAGCUAGGAAUUAAUUCUUGCAAGUAUUUGCAUUAAUAAACCGGUGGACAGCUUUUACGGUGAGAUGGCAACUUUGAUAUUGAAAGACUGCCCGGUAUUUAUUUAAAAUUGGGGCCUUCAAGGAAUGAAACGACGAACUUCGAAUUGGAUUUCAUGUUCUGGAAUCAGUAAAUUAUUAUAAUAUGUGAUAAUGAAAUAGCGAAAGCUGACAGGUCUUUGUGGCAUCUGCGAAUACUUAAUUAAAAAGUAACCAGCUUAUUCCUUUGGGAUAGAUCUUGUGUUGCCAUUUAAAUUCGACGUUUUGCUAACGGAAUGGACCUUCCAAUCGGUAGAUAAAGUUACCUCGGUUUCGUAUCUAAAACUUUAAUUUAAAAUGGAGCUGUCUAGCACUACUUUGGAACAGAAUACACGGACGAAGGAGUGAUCAUGGAAUGUUCUAGAUGCACGGGGAUGUCCAAAGACGUGAACACGUUUUCAAAAGUGAUUCGCAAUUCAAAUUCAAAAAGAUGCGAGCUACCACCACUUUGAAACAGAAUACACGGACGUUUUUUUGGGGAUGAAGGAGAAGGCCAUGGAAUGAUACUGUUGUCCGCCAAAUCAUCGUCGAUAAGUGCGGUUGUAUGUGUGUUCCGUUCGUGUGAAACGCUUUCUACGUGGAAGUGGUGAGUUUCUUUUACAUUUUUGCUUAGGUGUAGCUUUUUUUAAUUCAUUAUUUAUGAAUGUCAGGGCCCUGCAGUUUGUAAUUGUUGAUUUGGUAUUAAAAAAUAAUUCAAUUUAAAGAGCAUUUUAUAAGUAAUCGUUGUCACUUGAACCAGGGUCCUCAGAUGCUCACCAGAAACCGCAUAGAAAAUGUCACUACAGAUUCUCUUAGGUUCAAACAGUAAUUUCGUCCUUCUAGGAGACAUGUGUCCAGAAAUUUUUCUUACGAGGAUGGCGCAUCAUCUAAAGAUGUCAGAUAACUACUUGUGUAACUUUGUGGUCAGAAUUCGUCCACAAGCAAAUGUUUAUUUUUCCUAGGUUUCUCUUAUAGUUUUGAAGUUAGGAAUACUUGCAAGUAAUUUAAUUAUCCCAGCAUAAUAAUUGAUGUAGGGCGUUUUGCAGGAGAAUCGUCGUUUCAAUGUAAACAAAUCUCAAAUGUAUUAUUCUUUAUUGCAUUAGUAAACCAGUGGACCGCUUUUACGGUGAGAUGGCAACUUUGAUAUUCAAAGACUAACCGGUAUUUUUUUAAAAUUGGGGCCUUCAAGGAAUGAAUCGACGUCUUAAACUUCGAAUUGGAUUUAAUGUUCUGGUAUCAAUAAACUAUUAUAAAAUAUGCAAAAAGCGAAAGCUGCCAGAUCUAUGUGGCAUCUGCGAAUAAUUAACAAGUAACCAGCUUAUUCCUUUGGGAUAGAUCUUGUGUUGCCAUUUAGAUUCGACGUCUUGCUAAUGGAAUGGACCUUCCAAUCGGUAGAUAAAGUUGCCUCUG
Molecule: long non-coding RNA, 3261 nt
Organism: Photinus pyralis (common eastern firefly)
Lineage: Eukaryota; Metazoa; Arthropoda; Insecta; Coleoptera; Lampyridae
Exons: 6
Source: RefSeq, a predicted model, not a curated record